This 253-nucleotide ribosomal RNA is filed under the name uncultured bacterium. RNAcentral describes it as "partial 16S ribosomal RNA". It matches the Rfam family "Bacterial small subunit ribosomal RNA", at positions 524 to 776 of the family's 1533-position model. The record is from RNAcentral.
UACGUAGGGUGCAAGCGUUGUCCGGAAUUAUUGGGCGUAAAGAGCUCGUAGGCGGUUUGUCGCGUCUGCUGUGAAAACCCGAGGCUCAACCUCGGGCCUGCAGUGGGUACGGGCAGACUAGAGUGCGGUAGGGGAGAUUGGAAUUCCUGGUGCAGCGGUGGAAUGCGCAGAUAUCAGGAGGAACACCGAUGGCGAAGGCAGAUCUCUGGGCCGUAACUGACGCUGAGGAGCGAAAGCAUGGGGAGCGAACAGG